GGCGCACGGGUGCGUAACACGUAUGCAACCUACCUUAUACUGAGGGAUAGCCUUUCGAAAGGGAGAUUAAUACCUCAUAACACAUUGAACUGGCAUCAGUUUAUUGUUAAAGAUUUAUUGGUAUAAGAUGGGCAUGCGUCCAAUUAGUUAGUUGGCGAGGUAACGGCUCACCAAGACGAUGAUUGGUAGGGGAACUGAGAGGUUAAUCCCCCACACUGGCACUGAGAUACGGGCCAGACUCCUACGGGAGGCAGCAGUAGGGAAUAUUGGGCAAUGGAGGCAACUCUGACCCAGCCAUGCCGCGUGCAGGAAGAAGGCGUUAUGCGUUGUAAACUGCUUUUAUAUAGGAAGAAAUAGACCUUGCGAGGUAAGUUGACGGUACUAUAUGAAUAAGCACCGGCUAACUCCGUGCCAGCAGCCGCGGUAAUACGGAGGGUGCAAGCGUUGUCCGGAUUUAUUGGGUUUAAAGGGUGCGUAGGCGGUUUAUUAAGUCAGUGGUGAAAGACGGUCGCUCAACGAUUGCAGUGCCAUUGAUACUGGUAGACUUGAGUGGGAUUGAGGUAGCUGGAAUGGAUAGUGUAGCGGUGAAAUGCAUAGAUAUUAUCCAGAACACCAAUUGCGUAGGCAAGUUACUAAGUCUCAACUGACGCUGAGGCACGAAAGUGUGGGUAUCAAACAGGAUUAGAUACCCUGGUAGUCCACACUGUAAACGAUGAU
This 717-nucleotide ribosomal RNA is filed under the name uncultured bacterium. RNAcentral describes it as "bacterial SSU rRNA". It matches the Rfam family "Bacterial small subunit ribosomal RNA", at positions 97 to 813 of the family's 1533-position model. The record is from RNAcentral.